RNAcentral lists this long non-coding RNA (6955 nucleotides) under Brassica napus (rape). Its description in RNAcentral is "long non-coding RNA (BNAP_LNC003357)". Lineage: Eukaryota; Viridiplantae; Streptophyta; Magnoliopsida; Brassicales; Brassicaceae. The record is from RNAcentral.
AAAAUCAUGUUUCAAAUAAUUCAAUCUAAUCACAUUGCUUGUGCAAUACCCAUAGAAUAUCUUGGGAUUUUGAAUUUUUAACUGAACCUUCCUAAUAUUAACAAUUAUUGAUAUCGAAAUCAAAACCACAAAAUCUCGAGAGAUAUGAUCUAGAGUAUGCAACAAGUUUCACGGAAAACCUAAAAACUUCUCCCUUCAACCUCUUCAUAUUAUAAAUAGCAAUCACCUCUUCCUAAUCAAACCCACACCAUCAAACAACGCAAUGGCUACACAAAAGCAAAUCCAAACACGGCGUGCUUCUAAUGAAAAAGUGACCAUUCAAGACUUGCGGCUGCGGCCCUGGCACACUACUAAACUAGUUCAUGUGAAGGUUCUACGCUCUUGGGUCCAAAACAUUCAACUAUCAGGUGAAAUCAUGGAAUUCAUCUUUAUGAGAAUGUAAGCAAUCGUAACUGCCUAUUUAUGGUUUUGAAAUAUGUAUAUUUUGUUGUUUAUGUCUUGUUUAAAAGUUUGACUGUGCUCUUAAUAUUUUCAAUCUGAUUUAUUACAUGUGCAAGGGUGAUAAGAUUCACGCAACAUGUAAAAUGACUUACAUUGAGAGUAAAGGGAGGCGUCUUCCGUUGUAGUAUGGCGCAACAUUCAGAAUUUCCAUGUUAGACCUGCAAUAGGAGCUUAAUAUUAAUGACGAUUAAAUGAUGCUUUCUACUCAUAUGGUUAUUUUGAUCAUUCAUAUAUUUUAUAUAAAAAAAAUUAAAUUACUGGUAACAAAAUUUUCAUUGUGGGAUUAAUAGUUUUAGUAAUUUAUAUAUUUUUAAAAAUUAAGCUGUCAAUAACUGUUCAAAGCUUUUAUCAAAAAACAAUUGCUCAAAUAAUUUUAAAAAUUAAAAUAUUUAUGUAUUUUAAUUGGUAUAUAUUUUAGUUUAAAACAAUACAUAUAUAGAUAUAUAUAUAUAUAUAUAUAAUCUUGAUAAUUAAUUAAAUUAGACUUAUUAAUUAUAUGAUUUUGUAAUCAUUUUUAUUUUGACAUAACAAAAAUUUUAAACCAUGAAUCACAAAAUUUGAAUGUGAGACUUUUAACCAUUUUAAUAAUUUAUUCUUUUUAAAAGUUCAAAAUAUAACAUAUACAUAAAAAUCUAAAUUUUUUAUUAUAUGGUUAAUGUGGUUUUUUAAUUUAUUUUAGUUUUUUAAAAUUAAACUAAUAUGAUAGAAGAUACACUAAUUUUUUAUCAAAUCUUUAUUAUUUAAAAUCAUUAAUUGACAUAUAUACUUUAGCCAUAUUAGGCAAUUCCGUAAUUUUUAUUUAAGGAAAUAAUCAAGAAUAUUAAUCAUGAUAUUAUGGUUAGUUUAAGAAAAAUUUUAUUAUAUAAUUAGAUGGAUAAACAUAUUUCUCUAAUGAUUCUAAGAAUCAUCCUGGUAAUGACAUGUGACUACAAACAUAAGUUUUAGUGAUUCAAUUAAUAUAUAGCGGAUUUACAGCUAUCAUACAUCGUUUAAUAUUAUUUUAAUUAUAUAAUUAGGAAAAAUAUUUAAAAGUUAAGGAAAAGUUAUUUAAAUAAAUAAAUUUUAGAAACAUUUCAAAUAAGAAUUUAAUUCAUUUAUUUAUUUUACUUAAAUUUAAAUAUCUAUGAAUAUAUAUAUAUAUAUAUAUAUAUAUAUAUACACAAUUUUGAUCUAGAGUAUGCAACAAGUUUCACGGAAAACCUAAAAACUUCUCCCUUCAACCUCUUCAUAUUAUAAAUAGCAAUCACCUCUUCCUAAUCAAACCCACACCAUCAAACAACGCAAUGGCUACACAAAAGCAAAUCCAAACACGGCGUGCUUCUAAUGAAAAAGUGACCAUUCAAGACUUGCGGCUGCGGCCCUGGCACACUACUAAACUAGUUCAUGUGAAGGUUCUACGCUCUUGGGUCCAAAACAUUCAACUAUCAGGUGAAAUCAUGGAAUUCAUCUUUAUGAGAAUGUAAGCAAUCGUAACUGCCUAUUUAUGGUUUUGAAAUAUGUAUAUUUUGUUGUUUAUGUCUUGUUUAAAAGUUUGACUGUGCUCUUAAUAUUUUCAAUCUGAUUUAUUACAUGUGCAAGGGUGAUAAGAUUCACGCAACAUGUAAAAUGACUUACAUUGAGAGUAAAGGGAGGCGUCUUCCGUUGUAGUAUGGCGCAACAUUCAGAAUUUCCAUGUUAGACCUGCAAUAGGAGCUUAAUAUUAAUGACGAUUAAAUGAUGCUUUCUACUCAUAUGGUUAUUUUGAUCAUUCAUAUAUUUUAUAUAAAAAAAAUUAAAUUACUGGUAACAAAAUUUUCAUUGUGGGAUUAAUAGUUUUAGUAAUUUAUAUAUUUUUAAAAAUUAAGCUGUCAAUAACUGUUCAAAGCUUUUAUCAAAAAACAAUUGCUCAAAUAAUUUUAAAAAUUAAAAUAUUUAUGUAUUUUAAUUGGUAUAUAUUUUAGUUUAAAACAAUACAUAUAUAGAUAUAUAUAUAUAUAUAUAUAAUCUUGAUAAUUAAUUAAAUUAGACUUAUUAAUUAUAUGAUUUUGUAAUCAUUUUUAUUUUGACAUAACAAAAAUUUUAAACCAUGAAUCACAAAAUUUGAAUGUGAGACUUUUAACCAUUUUAAUAAUUUAUUCUUUUUAAAAGUUCAAAAUAUAACAUAUACAUAAAAAUCUAAAUUUUUUAUUAUAUGGUUAAUGUGGUUUUUUAAUUUAUUUUAGUUUUUUAAAAUUAAACUAAUAUGAUAGAAGAUACACUAAUUUUUUAUCAAAUCUUUAUUAUUUAAAAUCAUUAAUUGACAUAUAUACUUUAGCCAUAUUAGGCAAUUCCGUAAUUUUUAUUUAAGGAAAUAAUCAAGAAUAUUAAUCAUGAUAUUAUGGUUAGUUUAAGAAAAAUUUUAUUAUAUAAUUAGAUGGAUAAACAUAUUUCUCUAAUGAUUCUAAGAAUCAUCCUGGUAAUGACAUGUGACUACAAACAUAAGUUUUAGUGAUUCAAUUAAUAUAUAGCGGAUUUACAGCUAUCAUACAUCGUUUAAUAUUAUUUUAAUUAUAUAAUUAGGAAAAAUAUUUAAAAGUUAAGGAAAAGUUAUUUAAAUAAAUAAAUUUUAGAAACAUUUCAAAUAAGAAUUUAAUUCAUUUAUUUAUUUUACUUAAAUUUAAAUAUCUAUGAAUAUAUAUAUAUAUAUAUAUAUAUAUAUAUACACAAUUUUUCCUUACUCGGGUUUCAUAUCAAUUUGUUUAGCAGCCUCAAACUAAUUUGAUUGAUGCAAUGAGAAAGAGAAGUGUAAAAAAAUGACUGGAGAUAUGAAAUUAAUCAAUACUAUUAAAUUAGGAACAUAUCCUAUUGAUAAUAGUUGAAUCCAAUUUAAAAUAUAACUGCAAUUAAAAUCAAUAUUACAUGUUUAAAUAUUUAAACUACCAUAAUCUACCUAUUACGAAAAUGGUUAUCAAACUAACUCCCCUUUAAUUCCUAUAUUCUCGGGACCAUCUCUCUUAUCAAUACUAACUGAUUAAAAUCCACGGUUACGUAUGUUUUAUACAUAUGCGCAUGCAUAUAAAACUAUAUCACAAACUCAUAAUGCGCAUAACAGACAAUACUAACUAAUUAAAAUCCACGGUCACAUGGAAUAACAGUCGUGUAGUAUAGACAUGUUCAUAAUGACAAUCAUAAAAUCUGUCUAUUACCUUUUAACCGUGUAGGUAAAAGUAACACUAUAUUAAAGCACACACAAAAAUAUUAAAAAAUAAAUUAGAAAACUAAACUAUCUUUUUUGAUUCAGGUAUUUUAUAUCUAAGUUACUUAACUUAUUUUAAAAUAACUGAAAUUAUCAAAAUACAACAUGUUAAGAUUUAUCAAGACUUAUAUAUAAUAAAUUAUUUACCCAAAUAUCCAAAUUAUGUUUCUGAAAAUAUAAAAUUUACCCGAACUCGAAACUAUACCCAAAAAUCUGAAUCCGGAACUUAAGAAAAGUAUUUGUAAUACCAAAAAUAUUCCAAAACACCAAAAUAUACAUAAUAUCUACAAGAAGUUUCAGAUAUAUUGGAUACCCGAUUGAGUCUCGGAUAGGACCCGGACCCAAACCAAGACCUGCGGAUCUAUGAAAAAAGAAGACCCAAUAGGUACAUUAAAGUAGAUCCGGUCGCAGACCCGAACAUGUAUUUUCAGGUGGUUUAUGUUCGAGUUUUUGGGUCCAGAUAAAAUGUUUAGGCAUGAUUAUAAUUUUAGAGUGUUUACACACUUUAAGAAUAAAAAAUACAAUACUAACAAUAACACUACUUUAAUACAUAAUUUAUAUUAAAUAUAUAUUAUAUGUAAUACUUGUUUUAAUUAAUAAUGGGUAAAAUGGAUUAAAAUCAUAUAAAGUUAUAUUAAAAAUAUAAAACUACUAUUUUGUGAAACAAAUAAAAAUAUCAAAAAACUAUUAUCUUCGUGGAACUGAGGGGAGCACGAUCAUAUUUUAUAUGAACAUGUAAACUUCUCUAUAGUGAACGUAAAAUUGAUCGAUUAGAAUCAUAGUUGCCAAGUUAAUAAGCGUAUCUAUCCGUGGGCUGCACCUCCCAAUCGGGAGUUAGGUCUGUGUCUUUAAUAGACCCGGGUUAACCCUUUUUAAGUUUAUAAAAAAAAAGUUAAUAAGCGUAGAUCUCUAGACCAGAAAGAGAGAGAGAAAUGUUGUCUUGGAGUUUAUACCAUUCGAAAUGUAUGAUUAUAUUAUAAUUUAUAUAUAAGGCCAAAUAAAUGUAUGAUUAUUAUGUUCAAUUACCAAAAAAAGUUAAUCUACUUUUCUUAAUGUAAGUACUCCUAUUAAAUUUUGAUAUCUUGGGUUUUUAUCGGGUUUUAACCGCAUUCUUUCAUUUCGUUUUUAGUUACUCUCUCCGUUCCUAAAUAUAGGAUGUUCAAAAAAAAAAUUGAUGUUCUAAAAAGUUUUUAGUACAUUUUUACCAAAAAGUGUUUAGUACAUUUGUAUAUGCAUUUUUUUUUUGACGAAAUAUAUGCAUUUUUGUGUUAUGGACUUAUGGGUCUUGGAUCGGUUCCUGCAGUUUUCAUAGUUAUGAUUUCUCUCUUGUUCCUAAUGUUAUAUGUGGUUGAUGUUUGGUCAUGCUUACCAAAUUGUUUAUUGUUAUUCAAUAAUUCUUAAAUGAUAGAUAGAAAUAUGGAAAUGCUUCCCAGUGAUUUGUAAUUUUGAUUAUAUAUAGCAUUUUUUUUUCAGAAUGGAAAUGUAUAUAUUAUAUGAUUGAUAAGUUAAGCAUGAAAAUUAUAAUAGUACUGACCAAAAAAAAAUUAUAAUAGUAAGGGAUAACAGAAAGGAAACUGAUUAGAAACAUUAAAAACCAAGAUACAAAAUCAAAGGUUCCGACCAUUGUGUCGCUGAUUGCGGAUGGUUAAUGGAGCUGACACGAGCUCUGGAACUGACGUGUUCCCAUAGACCACCAUCGCCCAUACAGGAUUUGCCUUCUUUAGCACGUUGGCUUUGUCUUUCUCUCACGUGUUUUGUCCAGCGCCGAAUUGGCUUCGUAUAAAUCAGAAAUCUCAAAUAUUUUUACUUUCUGUCCAAUAUAAAAGAAAAUGAUAUAAUAUUUAUAUUGUUUUUCCCUCUCAGGGGCACUUUUGCAAGUCCCCAGCAACGGUUUCUCAGUUGGCUCAGCUGAGAAUAUGUCGUAUUGUUAUAUGUAGAAUUAAUCGCAUUGACUGAAGCUUGUAUUAAUUAGAUUAGCCGCAGACUUGAAAAGCAGUAGCAUUCUGAGGUGGAUGAGUGUUUUUUUUUCUUAAACACUCAAAUCUAUACUAUUAAAACAGAAUCAUACUCCUGCCUUUUCCAGUUAAUUACAUGCCACUGCCAUUACCUUUUUUUUUAAUAAAUAUUGCCAAUUAUUUUAGACCAAUCCGAAGUAUUCGAUUUUUACAGCCUAUCAAAACUAUUUAAGCCCACAGCAGAGUAAACCCGUACUUUUUUAAAAUCCAAACAGAAAUGAAUGUUCAGCCCACCGAAAUCAUCUUCAUGAUCAAACCCUAUAAUAUGUAAACCCCAUCGAAAUCAUCUUCUUUUUUUAACAAACCCUAUACCCUGAAAUGAAAACCCUAACGAAGAUGAAUAUAACAUAUAGAUAAACAUAAAUGUAAAUCAAUGUUCAUAAUAAGCUUAUUUAGAUGAUGCAUGACACCUACAUAUAUAUAUGUUAUGAUUCCUUUACAAAAUGCAAUAUGUAAUGGUGGACACUUUAAUCAAACCAAAAAUAUUAAAAUAUUGACCACAAGUUACUAUGGUAUAAUUCGAAUUUUUUAUAACAAUAAUUAAUUAAAAAUCUAAUAACAAUAUUUUUAAAUAAAUAUUUUACUUAUCUAUAGUUUGGUUACCAUAUCUAUUUGAACUAUAAAUUUUUCAACUCAUCCCCUAAUUUUCGUAAUUAAUUAAAAAACAUAUAAUUAUAUUGGAAUGCCACUGACUUUUCUUGCUUUUUAGUGUAAUUAUAAAUAGUAUUUAAAAAUAUCACUUGGAUACCAAAUCUAUUCCAAGUAUGUUCUUUAACUCAUUCCGUAAUUUUCUCUUCCUAUUAGAAAUAUAAAAAUAAUAUUAUGGCAAAGCUUCCCUAUUUCAUAUACCUAUAUUAAAUGUAACCCAAAAUAUAGAGAAAAAAUAUUAUAUUUUUGGCUAAAAUCAUGUUUCAAAUAAUUCAAUCUAAUCACAUUGCUUGUGCAAUACCCAUAGAAUAUCUUGGGAUUUUGAAUUUUUAACUGAACCUUCCUAAUAUUAACAAUUAUUGAUAUCGAAAUCAAAACCACAAAAUCUCGAGAGAUAUGAUCUAGAGUAUGCAACAAGUUUCACGGAAAACCUAAAAACUUCUCCCUUCAACCUCUUCAUAUUAUAAAUAGCAAUCACCUCUUCCUAAUCAAACCCACACCAUCAAACAACGCAAUGGCUACACAAAAGCAAAUCCAAACACGGCGUGCUUCUAAUGAAAAAGUGACCAUUCAAGAC